GGCUUUCUCAUACCAUUUAGGAGAUAAUGUUCUUUGAGGUGUCUUUUGCACAUGUGGAUGUGGUGUUGCCCUCUGCUUUUUUCCAGAGAAAAAAGAUAGUGGUGUGCCCUCUCCUGCAACCUUGCCUGCAUCCAGUUUUAACAGCAGAGUUUGAGCCUUGGGAUGUGUCAGGUGGAUGCAUCCAGAUUCUCAGGCCAAAGAGGGGAAAUAGGCAAGAACUCAAGAGCCAGAUCUUCCUUCCCCAGGUCUUCCCCACCAGGAACUGGCAUGAGAAAACUUGAGAGACCCUUCUUUGCCUAUUCAACAUUUUAAUGAGCAAUGGAUGAACAAGAUCUUCUGGCCUGAGCCCUAGAAGUGCACUACUGUCUAUAAAAUAUGUGUUGUUAAGAGCCACUGCGGAGUCAAAUGGAGCAUUAUGUAAUUCUUUGGCAAAUGGGCUCUCUGUGUAAGUACUUGGAAGUUAUAAGUUUGUUAACUUUGUCUUCCCAAGCUGUAAAAGGGUCCCAUAAUAGCAAUUUCUCUUGGCUUGCCAGGCACAGAAAUUAACUCUAGAAAACUAUGUAACAGAAGAUUAAAAAUAAAGCAG
Molecule: long non-coding RNA, 586 nt
Filed under: Cyanistes caeruleus (blue tit)
Lineage: Eukaryota; Metazoa; Chordata; Aves; Passeriformes; Paridae
Description: lncRNA (ENSCCEG00000013511.1)
Source: RNAcentral